CGCGUCUAUCAUGCAAGUCGAGCGCAGGAGCAAGCUGAUCCCCUUCGGGGGUGACGCUUGUGGAAUGAGCGGCGGACGGGUGAGUAACACGUGGGCAACCUGCCUGUAAGACUGGGAUAACCCCGGGAAACCGGGGCUAAUACCGGAUAAUACUUUCUUUUGCAUAAAGGAAAGUUGAAAGGCGGCUUCGGCUGUCACUUACAGAUGGGCCCGCGGCGCAUUAGCUAGUUGGUGAGGUAACGGCUCACCAAGGCGACGAUGCGUAGCCGACCUGAGAGGGUGAUCGGCCACACUGGGACUGAGACACGGCCCAGACUCCUACGGGAGGCAGCAGUAGGGAAUCUUCCGCAAUGGACGAAAGUCUGACGGAGCAACGCCGCGUGAGUGAUGAAGGUUUUCGGAUCGUAAAACUCUGUUGUUAGGGAAGAACAAGUAGGAUAGUAACUGAUCGUACCUUGACGGUACCUAACCAGAAAGCCACGGCUAACUACGUGCCAGCAGCCGCGGUAAUACGUAGGUGGCAAGCGUUGUCCGGAAUUAUUGGGCGUAAAGCGCUCGCAGGCGGUCCUUUAAGUCUGAUGUGAAAUCUCGCGGCUCAACCGCGAACGGUCAUUGGAAACUGGAGGACUUGAGUACAGAAGAGGAGAGUGGAAUUCCACGUGUAGCGGUGAAAUGCGUAGAGAUGUGGAGGAACACCAGUGGCGAAGGCGACUCUCUGGUCUGUAACUGACGCUGAGGAGCGAAAGCGUGGGGAGCGAACAGGAUUAGAUACCCUGGUAGUCCACGCCGUAAACGAUGAGUGCUAGGUGUUAGGGGGUUUCCGCCCCUUAGUGCUGAAGUUAACGCAUUAAGCACUCCGCCCUGGGGAGUACGGCCGCAAGGCUGAAACUCAAAAAGAAUUGACGGGGGCCCGCACAAGCGGUGGAGCAUGGUGGUUAAUUCGGAGGCACGCGAGACUUUACCAAGGUCUGACAUCUCUGCUAUCCUAGAGAUAGGAAGUCCCAUCCGGGACGGAGUGACAUGUUGUGCAUGGAUGUCGUUCAGCUCGUUCUGAAUGUGUUAAGUCCGCACGGAGCACUGACUUAGUGCAGACUAGUGUCACUUAGGGUACUUGCGGGUA
Molecule: ribosomal RNA, 1120 nt
Filed under: Bacillus sp. R60
Lineage: Bacteria; Bacillati; Bacillota; Bacilli; Caryophanales; Bacillaceae
Description: bacterial SSU rRNA
Rfam family: Bacterial small subunit ribosomal RNA
Source: RNAcentral